Molecule: ribosomal RNA, 433 nt
Filed under: uncultured bacterium
Lineage: Bacteria
Description: partial 16S ribosomal RNA
Rfam family: Bacterial small subunit ribosomal RNA
Source: RNAcentral
AACGAACGCUGGCGGCAGGCCUAACACAUGCAAGUCGAGCGAGAUCUUCGGGUCUAGCGGCGGACGGGUGAGUAACGCGUGGGAAUAUGCCUCUUGGUACGGAAUAGCCUCGGGAAACUGGGAGUAAUACCGUAUGUGCCCUUUGGGGGAAAGAUUUAUCGCCAAGAGAUUAGCCCGCGUUGGAUUAGGUAGUUGGUGGGGUAAUGGCCUACCAAGCCGACGAUCCAUAGCUGGUUUGAGAGGAUGAUCAGCCACACUGGGACUGAGACACGGCCCAGACUCCUACGGGAGGCAGCAGUGGGGAAUCUUAGACACUGGGGGCAACCCUGAUCUAGCCAUGCCGCGUGAGUGAUGAAGGCCUUAGGGUUGUAAAGCUCUUUCAGCUGGGAAGAUAAUGACGGUACCAGCAGAAGAAGCCCCGGCUAACUCCGUG